UACGGAGGGUGCAAACGUUGCUCGGAAUCAUUGGGCGUAAAGCGAGCGUAGGCGGUCUUAUAAGUCGGAUGUGAAAGCCCUCGGCUCAACCGAGGAAGUGCACCCGAAACUGCAAGACUUGAGUGUCGGAGAGGGUGACGGAAUUCCCGGUGUAGAGGUGAAAUUCGUAGAUAUCGGGAGGAACAUCAGUGGCGAAGGCGGUCACCUGGACGAUAACUGACGCUGAGGCUCGAAAGCGUGGGGAGCAAACAGG
Molecule: ribosomal RNA, 253 nt
Filed under: uncultured bacterium
Lineage: Bacteria
Description: partial 16S ribosomal RNA
Rfam family: Bacterial small subunit ribosomal RNA
Source: RNAcentral